Molecule: non-coding RNA, 75 nt
Organism: Tritrichomonas musculus
Lineage: Eukaryota; Parabasalia; Tritrichomonadida; Tritrichomonadidae
Source: the annotation of a GenBank genome assembly
UGCGGUGUGGAACAGCGGGUUUAGUUCGUGAGGCUCAUAACCUUAAGGUCAGCAGUUCGAAUCUGCUCAUCGCUC